RNAcentral lists this ribosomal RNA (459 nucleotides) under uncultured bacterium. RNAcentral describes it as "partial 16S ribosomal RNA". It matches the Rfam family "Bacterial small subunit ribosomal RNA", at positions 339 to 795 of the family's 1533-position model. The record is from RNAcentral.
CUACGGGAGGCACCAGUGAGGAAUAUUGGGCAAUGGGCGCAAGCCUGACCCAGCCAUCCCGCGUGCAGGAUGACAGCCCUACGGGUUGUAAACUGCUUUUAUACAGGAAGAAAAGCCUUGACGUGUCAAGGUCUGACGGUACUGUAAGAAUAAGCAUCGGCUAACUCCGUGCCAGCAGCCGCGGUAAUACGGAGGAUGCAAGCGUUAUCCGGAUUUAUUAGGUUUAAAGGGUGCGUAGGCGGAACAUUAAGUCAGUGGUGAAAUCUUGCGGCUUAACCGUAAAAUUGCCGUUGAAACUGAUGUUCUUGAGUAUAGUUGAGGUAGGCGGAAUGUGUCAUGUAGCGGUGAAAUGCAUAGAGAUGACACAGAACACCGAUUGCGAAGGCAGCUUACUAAGCUAUUACUGGCGCUGAGGCACGAAAGCGUGGGGAGCGAACAGGAUUAGAUACCCUAGUAGUC